Molecule: ribosomal RNA, 382 nt
Filed under: uncultured eukaryote
Lineage: Eukaryota
Description: partial 18S ribosomal RNA
Rfam family: Eukaryotic small subunit ribosomal RNA
Source: RNAcentral
UGUGAGCGUAUACCAAAGUUGUUGCAGUUAAAACGCUCGUAGUCGGAAUUUGGCAGUUCCGGAUGUGUGCACGUCGUGUGCGCACUUCGCGGGGAUUGCUUUUGUGGUCUUGCGUAGGAUGAGGCACUUUUAUUAGUGAACGUCCUCACGCAACCACUUUUUACUGUGAGAAAAUCAGAGUGCUCAAAGCAGGCAUUUGCCGUGAAUGUAUUAGCAUGGAAUAAUAGAAUAGGACUUGGUUCUAUUUUGUUGGUUUGUUGGGACUGAGUAAUGAUUAAGAGGGACAGUUGGGGGCAUUUGUAUUUCGGCGCUAGAGGUGAAAUUCUUAGAUUACCGAAAGACAAACUGCUGCGAAAGCGUCUGCCAAGGAUGUUUUCAUUGA